This 118-nucleotide ribosomal RNA is filed under the name Periophthalmus magnuspinnatus. The record is from RNAcentral. Lineage: Eukaryota; Metazoa; Chordata; Actinopteri; Gobiiformes; Gobiidae.
UGUUGUGGCCAAGCCUCCUCAUCAAACCCUGAUCUCGUCAGAUCUCAGAGACUAAACAAGGCCAGGUCUGGUUAGUACUUGGAUGGGAGACGCCUGAGAAUACCAGGUGCCACAGUGA